This 374-nucleotide ribosomal RNA is filed under the name uncultured bacterium. Its description in RNAcentral is "bacterial SSU rRNA". It matches the Rfam family "Bacterial small subunit ribosomal RNA", at positions 105 to 507 of the family's 1533-position model. The record is from RNAcentral.
GGUAAGUAACACGUUGGAACCUGCCCCGAAGUGGGGAAUAACUGCUCGAAAGAGUAGCUAAUACCCCAUAGUAUCCGGUUUAUCCGGAUUAAAGAUUUAUCGCUUCGGGAGGGGCCUGCGUCUGAUUAGCUUGUUGUGGGGUAAAAAGCUCACCAAGGCGACGAUCAGUAGCUGGUUCGAGAGGAUGACCAGCCACACUGGGACUGAGAUACGGCCCAGACUCCUACGGGAGGCAGCAGUGAGGAAUCUUCCACAAUGGACGAAAGUCUGAUGGAGCAAUACCGCGUGCAGGACGACGCUUUUCGGAGUGUAAACUGCUUUUGUCGUCGAAGAUUAUGACUGUAGACGAAGAAUAAGGACCGGCUAACUACGUG